Pipra filicauda (Wire-tailed manakin) is the source of this 354-nucleotide long non-coding RNA. RefSeq lists it as uncharacterized. NCBI's taxonomy places the organism in Eukaryota, Metazoa, Chordata, Aves, Passeriformes, Pipridae. The record is from RefSeq and is a predicted model, not a curated record. The transcript is spliced from 3 exons.
CAGCUUGGAGAAACUUGGAGUGGAUCAGCAUUCUGCUUUGAGCUUCCAACUUGGUUACAGUCACCCCUAAUUCUGAGGAGGUUUCUGCUGCAAUACUGUGAUAAAAGAAAUCACACUCUUAACUGACUUCGAGCUGUACAGUCAAUUCCUCGGCCCUCAAGUAUUUGCAGUGACUGGAACUCACAUGUGAGAAUAUCAAUGGAAGGCAACAGGAAUUUUGGAUGAAAAGGAGUUUUAUGGAUCACAGUAUUGGACUGGAAGAUUAAAGAUGUUUAAAGGCUUCCAUCUGGGGUCCCUAACUUCAUGGCAGAUAUAAAGGGAAAUCCACCAAAGAAAGAUGGAAAGAAACUUCCU